RNAcentral lists this non-coding RNA (21 nucleotides) under Rattus norvegicus (Norway rat). Lineage: Eukaryota; Metazoa; Chordata; Mammalia; Rodentia; Muridae. The record is from RNAcentral.
CUUUUCCUAUGGGUUCUUGCC